GACAGAGGGUGCGAACGUUGUUCGGAAUUACUGGGCGUAAAGCGCAUGUAGGCGGCAGCGCAAGUCGGGCGUGAAAUCCCACGGCUCAACCGUGGAAGUGCACUCGAAACUGCGCAGCUAGAGUACUGGAGAGGUUGGUGGAAUUCUCGGUGUAGAGGUGAAAUUCGUAGAUAUCGAGAGGAACACCGGUGGCGAAGGCGGCCAACUGGACAGAUACUGACGCUGAGACUCGAAAGCGUGGGGAGCAAACAGG
RNAcentral lists this ribosomal RNA (253 nucleotides) under uncultured bacterium. RNAcentral describes it as "partial 16S ribosomal RNA". It matches the Rfam family "Bacterial small subunit ribosomal RNA", at positions 524 to 776 of the family's 1533-position model. The record is from RNAcentral.